UAGGGANUCUUCGGCAAUGGGGGCAACCCUGACCGAGCAACGCCGCGUGAGUGAAGAAGGUUUUCGGAUCGUAAAGCUCUGUUGUAAGUCAAGAACGAGUGUGAGAGUGGAAAGUUCACACUGUGACGGUAGCUUACCAGAAAGGGACGGCUAACUACGUGCCAGCAGCCGCGGUAAUACGUAGGUCCCGAGCGUUGUCCGGAUUUAUUGGGCGUAAAGCGAGCGCAGGCGGUUUGAUAAGUCUGAAGUUAAAGGCUGUGGCUCAACCAUAGUUCGCUUUGGAAACUGUCAAACUUGAGUGCAGAAGGGGAGAGUGGAAUUCCAUGUGUAGCGGUGAAAUGCGUAGAUAUAUGGAGGAACACCGGUGGCGAAAGCGGCUCUCUGGUCUGUAACUGACGCUGAGGCUCGAAAGCGUGGGGAGCGAACAGGAUUAGAUACCCUGGUAGUCCACGCCGUNNNGAUGAGUGCUAGGUGUUGGAUCCUUUCCGGGAUUCAGUGCCGCAGCUAACGCAUUAAGCACUCCGCCUGGGGAGUACGACCGCAAGGUU
Molecule: ribosomal RNA, 548 nt
Filed under: uncultured bacterium
Lineage: Bacteria
Description: bacterial SSU rRNA
Rfam family: Bacterial small subunit ribosomal RNA
Source: RNAcentral